Molecule: ribosomal RNA, 983 nt
Filed under: uncultured bacterium
Lineage: Bacteria
Description: bacterial SSU rRNA
Rfam family: Bacterial small subunit ribosomal RNA
Source: RNAcentral
AGAGUUUGAUCCUGGCUCAGAACGAACGUUGGCGGCGUGGAUUAGGCAUGCAAGUCGAACGAAUCCCAGUCCCUCACCUUGCUCUCGCCCCUCGUCCUAGGCCCGUACCCCGACAAUGAUCGGGAGAGAGGCUGAGGCUGAGGGGUCGAGGGUGUGGUGAGGGGCUGGGGGAAGUGGCGAAAGGGGCAGUAAGGCGUGGGUAACCUACCCUGAGGACGGGGAUAGCCACUCUAACGAGUGGGUAAUACCCGGAGAUGUAACGAGAUCGCAUGACCUUGUUACCAAAUGAGUUUCGCCUUGGGAGGGGCUCACGUGGUAUUAGCUUGUUGGUGAGGUAACGGCUCACCAAGGCCAAGAUGCCUAGCAGGUGUGAGAGCACGACCUGCGCCACUGGCACUGAGACACUGGCCAGACUCCUACGGGAGGCUGCAGUCGAGGAUCUUCGGCAAUGGGCGCAAGCCUGACCGAGCGACGCCGCGUGCGCGAUGAAGGCCUUCGGGUUGUAAAGCGCUGUCGAGGGGGAGGAAGCCGAAAGGUUGACCUAUCCCUGGAGGAAGCACGGGCUAAGUUCGUGCCAGCAGCCGCGGUAAGACGAACCGUGCAAACGUUGUUCGGAAUCACUGGGCUUAAAGGGCGCGUAGGCGGGCUGUCAAGUCCGGGGUGAAAUCUUUCGGCUCAACCGGAAAAUUGCCUUGGAUACUGAUGGUCUUGAGUGAGGUAGGGGCAUGUGGAACUUCCGGUGGAGCGGUGAAAUGCGUUGAUAUCGGAAGGAACGCCGGUGGCGAAAGCGACGUGCUGGACCUUUUCUGACGCUGAGGCGCGAAAGCUAGGGUAGCGAACGGGAUUAGAUACCCCGGUAGUCCUAGCCCUAAACGAUGGGUACUAGGUUGUGGACUUGACAUGGGUUCACAGCCGAAGCAAAAGUGUUAAGUACCCCGCCUGGGGAGUAUGGUCGCAAGGCUGAAACUCAAAGGAAUUGACGG